Molecule: long non-coding RNA, 1478 nt
Organism: Magnolia sinica
Lineage: Eukaryota; Viridiplantae; Streptophyta; Magnoliopsida; Magnoliales; Magnoliaceae
Exons: 3
Source: RefSeq, a predicted model, not a curated record
CUCUUAGAAUUGGAAAAAAAUGCAUAGGAGUUGUUUGUUAAAACCUCAAAGAAAUGUGAUUUUGUGGAGAAUUGUAUGCUUUUAGUUUGGCUCUACUCUCUCUCUCUCUCUAACUUCUUGAAAUGCGAAAAAAGCAAUGGAUGAUGAUCUAUCUUGGUUGAAUGGUUUGAGCCAUGAAACCAAUGAAUGAUGUUCAGGAACCCAUAAAUAGUUGGAUAUGGACACUGAUUCUGUUUUUCCUCUGUAUUGGGCGGGAAUACUUACUAAUGUUUUAGAGGCUUGUAAGUAAGAUCUUGACUUUAUGUGUCCCAUCCAUUGCAGUAAUUCAGUGAAUUUCUACAUAGGAGAUAAAUUACAAAUGUUAUUUCUAGCUGACUCCAAUUCUAACAUGUUUCCAAGUUCAAAUGAUUGCAUUUAUUUCAUAAUCUUGGAAUUAGUUUCUAAUACAAGGUGACUGUCCAAACAGAGGACAUGCAGUUGGCACGGGCUACAUUUUUGCAUUGGCGCAUGACUAUUGGCUCAUGGCCUCUAACUAUGGUUAUAUUUUCAUGAAUGAGUCACUGCAAUUGCAAUUUGGAGCCUAGUUAUCAAUACUUGGGAAGGUAUAUGCAAUUCAGAAGUUAGAAAAUAACUUAAGUUUAAUUUUCAUAUCUGCUUUCAAUAUAACAUGGCCACGCUGAAGUUUGGAUUGAAUUCAAUUGUUAGUAUAAUAAUUUCUAAAUAACUGAAUUGUGAAUUUCUUAAGUGGUGUUUGGUUGUUGGUUUUUAUAUUUUUCAGCUUAAAAAUUCUCUGAUUUCUACAAAAUUUAUGUUUGGUUCACAUUUUUUUUGUUGGUUUUUACAUUUCAAAUUAUGAAUUUCUUUGACAUGUUUGGCCGCUGCUAUUUAUAUUUCUUAGUUUAGACAUUACCUGAUUUUUAAAAAGUCAUGUUUAGUUUACAUUUUUUUGGCCUAAAGAAUUUAAACAUAAAUUAAGACAUUUCCUAAGUUUUUUGUAUCAACUAAACAAAAUUAAUUCUCCAUCAAUAAAUAUUAUAGGCCCUUUAACAUCCAUUUCAAAUGGUAUACAUACUCAUUGUGGAAACUAGAAAAUCUUUGUUUGGAAUUCAAUUCACUUGUGCAUCCAAAAGCAGCCUAAAUCAGCUUAAAUCAGUUAGGAAAUAGACAUGGAUACUCUCAUUUCUUAUUUCCUUCUUUUUGAUAACAUCGUCAAUGUAGGUUGAUUUGGGGUUGCCGUUGACAUUGGGGAAUGUGACUGUUCUCUAGCUCAAGCUAAAGUGAGGAAGACAUUUUAUACAAAUGUUCCUGAUGAAUAUAUACAAGCUGUUGAAGAUCUGGUUGUCCCAAGGACUGAAUUUGGUAAUGCAUCAGAGAAAGAGCAUUACCAUGUGAAGGUGCUUGACAAACAUGGAGUGACUCUUUCAUGCAAAUGUUCUACAACAGAAGAUGGUGGAAAACUUGAGCUUCGUAAGGCAAGU